RNAcentral lists this ribosomal RNA (507 nucleotides) under uncultured bacterium. RNAcentral describes it as "bacterial SSU rRNA". It matches the Rfam family "Bacterial small subunit ribosomal RNA", at positions 791 to 1297 of the family's 1533-position model. The record is from RNAcentral.
UAGUCCACGCCGUAAACGAUGUCAACUAGCCGUUGGGAGCAUAUAAGCUCUGAGUGGCGCAGCUAACGCGAUAAGUUGACCGCCUGGGGAGUACGCCGGCAACGGUAAAACUCAAAGGAACUGACGGGGGCCCGCACAAGCGGUGGAGUAUGUGGUUUAAUUCGAAGCAACGCGCAGAACCUUACCUACCCUUAACAUUUCACGCUCGCCUCAGAGAUGAGGUUUUCUCUUCAGAGACGUGAGGAUAGGUGCUGCAUGGCUGUCGUCAGCUCGUGUCGUAAGAUGUCUGGUUAAGUCCAAUAACGAGCGCAACCCUUAUCCUUAGUUACCAGCAUUGAGUUGGGGACUCUAGGGAGACUGCCGGUGUUAAACCGGAGGAAGGCGGGGAUGACGUCAAGUCCUCAUGGCCCUUACGGGUAGGGCUACACACGUACUACAAUGGCAGAAACAAACCGAAGCGAUAUUGCGAGAUGGAGCUAAACGGUAAAACACUAGUCUCAGUCCGGA